This 460-nucleotide ribosomal RNA is filed under the name uncultured bacterium. Its description in RNAcentral is "partial 16S ribosomal RNA". It matches the Rfam family "Bacterial small subunit ribosomal RNA", at positions 338 to 795 of the family's 1533-position model. The record is from RNAcentral.
CCUACGGGGGGCAGCAGUGAGGAAUAUUGGUCAAUGGGCGCGAGCCUGAACCAGCCAAGUAGCGUGAAGGAUGACUGCCCUACGGGUUGUAAACUUCUUUUAUAAAGGAAUAAAGUGAGGCACGUGUGCCUUUUUGUAUGUACUUUAUGAAUAAGGAUCGGCUAACUCCGUGCCAGCAGCCGCGGUAAUACGGAGGAUCCGAGCGUUAUCCGGAUUUUUUGGGUUUAAAGGGAGCGUAGAUGGGUUGUUAAGUCAGUUGUUAAAGUUUGCGGCUCAACCGUAAAAUUGCAAUUGAUACUGGCGGCCUUGAGUACAGUAGAGGUAGGCGGAAUUCGUGGUGUAGCGGUGAAAUGCUUAGAUAUCACGAAGAACUCCGAUUGCGAAGGCAGCUUACUAAACUGCCACUGACAUUGAUGCUCGAAAGUGUGGGUAUCAAACAGGAUUAGAUACCCUUGUAGUC